RNAcentral lists this ribosomal RNA (489 nucleotides) under uncultured bacterium. RNAcentral's name for it is "partial 16S ribosomal RNA". It matches the Rfam family "Bacterial small subunit ribosomal RNA", at positions 30 to 506 of the family's 1533-position model. The record is from RNAcentral.
AUUGAACGCUGGCGGCAGGCCUAACACAUGCAAGUCGAACGGUAACAGGAAGAAGCUUGCUUCUUUGCUGACGAGUGGCGGACGGGUGAGUAAUGUCUGGGAAACUGCCUGAUGGAGGGGGAUAACUACUGGAAACGGUAGCUAAUACCGCAUAACGUCGCAAGACCAAAAAGGGGGACCUUCGGGCCUCUUGCCAUCGGAUGUGCCCAGAUGGGAUUAGCUAGUAGGUGGGGUAACGGCUCACCUAGGCGACGAUCCCUAGCUGGUCUGAGAGGAUGACCAGCCACACUGGAACUGAGACACGGUCCAGACUCCUACGGGAGGCAGCAGUGGGGAAUAUUGCACAAUGGGCGCAAGCCUGAUGCAGCCAUGCCGCGUGUAUGAAGAAGGCCUUCGGGUUGUAAAGUACUUUCAGCGGGGAGGAAGGGAGUAAAGUUAAGACCUUUGCUCAUUGACGUUACCCGCAGAAGAAGCACCGGCGAACUCCGU